This 300-nucleotide ribosomal RNA is filed under the name uncultured Lactobacillus sp. RNAcentral's name for it is "bacterial SSU rRNA". It matches the Rfam family "Bacterial small subunit ribosomal RNA", at positions 496 to 795 of the family's 1533-position model. Lineage: Bacteria; Bacillati; Bacillota; Bacilli; Lactobacillales; Lactobacillaceae. The record is from RNAcentral.
GCUAAUGUGGGUCCAGCGGCGUGGGGAGGACGAAGGGGGCGAGCGUGGUGCGGAAUGACUGGGCGUAAAGCGCUGGCAGGCGGUGCUCCAAGUCAGUGGUGAAAGCCCGGAGCUCAACUCCGGAAUUGCCAUGGAAACUGUUGAACUGGAGGAUGAGAGAGGUGAGGGGAAUGCCCAGUGUAGAGGUGAAAUUCGUAGAUAUUGGGAAGAACACCGGUGGCGAAGGCGGCUCACUGGCUCAUUACUGACGCUCAGGCGCGAUAGCGUGGGGAUCAAACAGGAUUAGAUACCCGGGUAGUC